RNAcentral lists this ribosomal RNA (389 nucleotides) under uncultured bacterium. Its description in RNAcentral is "bacterial SSU rRNA". It matches the Rfam family "Bacterial small subunit ribosomal RNA", at positions 29 to 416 of the family's 1533-position model. The record is from RNAcentral.
AUUGAACGCUGGCGGCAUGCCUUACACAUGCAAGUCGAACGGCAGCACGGGAGCAAUCCUGGUGGCGAGUGGCGAACGGGUGAGUAAUAUAUCGGAACGUGCCCAGUCGUGGGGAUAACGUAGCGAAAGCUACGCUAAUACCGCAUACGAUCUAUGGAUGAAAGCGGGGGAGUCGCAAGACCUCGCGCGAUUGGAGCGGCCGAUAUCAGAUUAGGUAGUUGGUGAGGUAAAGGCUCACCAAGCCGGCGGAUCUGUAGCUGGUCUGAGAGGACGACCAGCCACACUGGGACUGAGACACGGCCCAGACUCCUACGGGAGGCAGCAGUGGGGGAAUUUUGGACAAUGGGCGGCAAGCCUGAUCCAGCAAUGCCGCGUGCAGGAUGAAGGCC